AAAGUCGUAACAAGGUCUCCGUUGGUGAACCAGCGGAGGGAUCAUUACAGAGUUGAAAAACUCCAACCCCUGUGAACCUACCUUUACUGUUGCUUCGGCGGACGAUGGCCCCCCGGGCCAGACGCCGCCGGAGGUUACAAACCCUGAAUUUUAGUGUAUCUCUGAGUACAAAACCAAAUAAUUAAAACUUUCAACAACGGAUCUCUUGGUUCUG
RNAcentral lists this unclassified non-coding RNA (214 nucleotides) under Ascomycota sp. RNAcentral describes it as "partial contains small subunit ribosomal RNA, internal transcribed spacer 1, and 5.8S ribosomal RNA". The stretch from base 1 to 47 matches the Rfam family "Eukaryotic small subunit ribosomal RNA", at positions 1785 to 1831 of the family's 1831-position model. The record is from RNAcentral. Lineage: Eukaryota; Fungi; Ascomycota.